CCUACGGGUGGCCGCAGUGGGGAAUAUUGCACAAUGGGGGAAACCCUGAUGCAGCGACGCCGCGUGAGUGAAGAAGUAUUUCGGUACGUAAAGCUCUAUCAGCAGGGAAGAAAAUGACGGUACCUGACUAAGAAGCCCCGGCUAACUACGUGCCAGCAGCCGCGGUAAUACGUAGGGGGCAAGCGUUAUCCGGAUUUACUGGGUGUAAAGGGAGCGUAGACGGCAGCGCAAGUCUGGAGUGAAAUCCCAUGGCUUAACCAUGGAACUGCUUUGGAAACUGGGCAGCUAGAGUGCAGGAGAGGUAAGCGGAAUUCGGGGUGUAGCGGUGAAAUGCUUAGAUAUCACGAAGAACCCCGAUUGCGAAGGCAGCUUACUAAACUGUGACUGACAUUGAUGCUCGAAAGUGUGGGUAUCAAACAGGAUUAGAGACCCUGGUAGUC
RNAcentral lists this ribosomal RNA (440 nucleotides) under uncultured bacterium. Its description in RNAcentral is "partial 16S ribosomal RNA". It matches the Rfam family "Bacterial small subunit ribosomal RNA", at positions 338 to 795 of the family's 1533-position model. The record is from RNAcentral.